Molecule: ribosomal RNA, 253 nt
Filed under: uncultured bacterium
Lineage: Bacteria
Description: partial 16S ribosomal RNA
Rfam family: Bacterial small subunit ribosomal RNA
Source: RNAcentral
UACGAAGGGGGCUAGCGUUGCUCGGAAUUACUGGGCGUAAAGGGCGCGUAGGCGGGUGUUUAAGUCAGAGGUUAAAUCCCAGGGCUCAACCCUGGAACUGCCUUUGAUACUGGGCACCUAGAGUUCGGGAGAGGUGUGUGGAACUCCGAGUGUAGAGGUAAAAUUCGUAGAUAUUCGGAAGAACACCAGUGGCGAAGGCGACACACUGGCCCGAUACUGACGCUGAGGCGCGAAAGCGUGGGGAGCAAACAGG